AGCAGCCGCGGUAAUUCCAGCUCCAAUAGCGUAUAUUAAAGUUGUUGCAGUUAAAAAGCUCGUAGUUGAAUUUCGGGGUCAAUAAGUUGGUCAUGCCAAUGGUAUGCACUGGCCUUAUUGAUUCCUACCUCUUGACGAACUGUGAUGCCAUUAAUUUGGUGUUGCAAGGAAUCAGGACUGUUACCUUGAAAAAUUAGAGUGUUUAAAGCAAGCUUACGCUUGAAUACAUUAGCAUGGAAUAAUGAAAUAGGACGUUUGAUCCUAUUUUGUUGGUUUCUAGGAUCGACGUAAUGAUUAAUAGGGAUAGUUGGGGGCAUUAGUAUUCAAUUGUCAGAGGUGAAAUUCUUGGAUUUAUUGAAGACUAACUACUGCGAAAGCAUUUG
RNAcentral lists this ribosomal RNA (383 nucleotides) under uncultured Glomeromycotina. RNAcentral's name for it is "SSU rRNA". It matches the Rfam family "Eukaryotic small subunit ribosomal RNA", at positions 569 to 957 of the family's 1831-position model. The record is from RNAcentral. Lineage: Eukaryota; Fungi; Glomeromycota.